CGGGUGAGUAAUGCGUGACCAACCUCGCCCCAUGCUCCAUAAUAGCUCUUGGAAACGGGUGGUAAUGCUGGAUGCUCCAACUUGACGCAUGUCUUGUUGGGAAAGUGUUUAGUGGCAUGGGAUGGGGUCGCGUCCUAUCAGCUUUGUAGGCGGGGUAAUGGCCCACCUAGGCUUCGACGGGNUUAGCCGGCCUGAGAGGGCGGACGGCCACAUUGGGACUGAGAUACGGGCCCAGACUCCUACGGGAGGCAGCAGCCC
Molecule: ribosomal RNA, 258 nt
Filed under: uncultured Gardnerella sp.
Lineage: Bacteria; Bacillati; Actinomycetota; Actinomycetes; Bifidobacteriales; Bifidobacteriaceae
Description: partial 16S ribosomal RNA
Rfam family: Bacterial small subunit ribosomal RNA
Source: RNAcentral